AAUAUUGCGCAAUGGAGGGAACUCUGACGCAGCGACGCCGCGUGAGCGAUGAAGGUCUUCGGUUCGUAAAGCUCUGUCCUUGGGGAAGAAGGCCUUCGGACUUGACGGCACCUAGGGAGGAAGCCCCGGCUAACUACGUGCCAGCAGCCGCGGUAAUCCGUACGGGGCAAGCGUUGUCCGGAAUUAUUGGGCGUAAAGGGUGCGUAGGCGACCUUUUAAGUCAGGUGUGAAAGCCCACGGCUUAACCGUGGGACUGCAUUUGAAACUGGAGGGCUUGAGUAUCGGAGAGGGUAGUGGAAUUCCCAGUGUAGCGGUGGAAUGCGUAGAUAUUGGGAGGAACACCAGUGGCGAAGGCGACUAACUGGUCUGUAACUGACGCUGAGGCGCGAAAGCGUGGGGAGCAAACA
This 407-nucleotide ribosomal RNA is filed under the name uncultured bacterium. RNAcentral describes it as "partial 16S ribosomal RNA". It matches the Rfam family "Bacterial small subunit ribosomal RNA", at positions 360 to 774 of the family's 1533-position model. The record is from RNAcentral.